GAGUUUGAUCCUGGCUCAGGAUGAACGCUAGCUACAGGCUUAACACAUGCAAGUCGAGGGGAAACGAUAGAGAAAGCUUGCUUUUUCUAGGCGUCGACCGGCGCACGGGUGAGUAACGCGUAUCCAACCUGCCCACCACUUGGGGAUAACCUUGCGAAAGUAAAACUAAUACCCAAUGAUAUCUCUAGAAGACAUCUGAAGGAGAUUAAAGAUUUAUCGGUGAUGGAUGGGGAUGCGUCUGAUUAGCUUGUUGGCGGGGUAACGGCCCACCAAGGCGACGAUCAGUAGGGGUUCUGAGAGGAAGGUCCCCCACAUUGGAACUGAGACACGGUCCAAACUCCUACGGGAGGCAGCAGUGAGGAAUAUUGGUCAAUGGGCGAGAGCCUGAACCAGCCAAGUAGCGUGCAGGAUGACGGCCCUAUGGGUUGUAAACUGCUUUUAUAAGGGAAUAAAGUGAGUCUCGUGAGACUUUUUGCAUGUACCUUAUGAAUAAGGACCGGCUAAUUCCGUGCCAGCAGCCGCGGUAAUACGGAAGGUCCGGGCGUUAUCCGGAUUUAUUGGGUUUAAAGGGAGCGUAGGCCGGAGAUUAAGCGUGUUGUGAAAUGUAGAUGCUCAACAUCUGCACUGCAGCGCGAACUGGUUUCCUUGAGUACGCACAAAGUGGGCGGAAUUCGUGGUGUAGCGGUGAAAUGCUUAGAUAUCACGAAGAACUCCGAUUGCGAAGGCAGCUCACUGGAGCGCAACUGACGCUGAAGCUCGAAAGUGCGGGUAUCGAACAGGAUUAGAUACCCUGGUAGUCCGCACGGUAAACGAUGGAUGCCCGCUGUUGGUCUGAAUAGGUCAGCGGCC
This 849-nucleotide ribosomal RNA is filed under the name uncultured bacterium. RNAcentral describes it as "bacterial SSU rRNA". It matches the Rfam family "Bacterial small subunit ribosomal RNA", at positions 9 to 848 of the family's 1533-position model. The record is from RNAcentral.